RNAcentral lists this ribosomal RNA (437 nucleotides) under uncultured bacterium. Its description in RNAcentral is "bacterial SSU rRNA". It matches the Rfam family "Bacterial small subunit ribosomal RNA", at positions 355 to 796 of the family's 1533-position model. The record is from RNAcentral.
UCGAGGAUCUUCGGCAAUGGGCGCAAGCCUGACCGAGCGACGCCGCGUGUGCGAUGAAGGCCUUCGGGUUGUAAAGCACUGUCGAGGGGGAGGAAAACCGAGCAAUCGGUCUGACCUAUCCCUGGAGGAAGCACGGGCUAAGUUCGUGCCAGCAGCCGCGGUAAGACGAACCGUGCGAACGUUGUUCGGAUUCACUGGGCUUAAAGGGCGCGUAGGCGGUCGGCCAAGUCGGGGGUGAAAUCUUUCCGCUCAACGGGAAAAGGGCUUCCGAUACUGGCCGGCUGGAGGAGGGUAGGGGCGCGCGGAACUUCCGGUGGAGCGGUGAAAUGCGUAGAUAUCGGAAGGAACGCCGGUGGCGAAAGCGGCGCGCUGGACCCUUUCUGACGCUGAGGCGCGAAAGCCAGGGGAGCAAACGGGAUUAGAUACCCCCGUAGUCC